This 252-nucleotide ribosomal RNA is filed under the name Staphylococcus aureus. RNAcentral describes it as "partial 16S ribosomal RNA". It matches the Rfam family "Bacterial small subunit ribosomal RNA", at positions 196 to 443 of the family's 1533-position model. Lineage: Bacteria; Bacillati; Bacillota; Bacilli; Caryophanales; Staphylococcaceae. The record is from RNAcentral.
AAAAGUGAAAGACGGUCUUGCUGUCACUUAUAGAUGGAUCCGCGCUGCAUUAGCUAGUUGGUAAGGUAACGGCUUACCAAGGCAACGAUGCAUAGCCGACCUGAGAGGGUGAUCGGCCACACUGGAACUGAGACACGGUCCAGACUCCUACGGGAGGCAGCAGUAGGGAAUCUUCCGCAAUGGGCGAAAGCCUGACGGAGCAACGCCGCGUGAGUGAUGAAGGUCUUCGGAUCGUAAAACUCUGUUAUUAGG